RNAcentral lists this ribosomal RNA (388 nucleotides) under Listeria monocytogenes. RNAcentral's name for it is "bacterial SSU rRNA". It matches the Rfam family "Bacterial small subunit ribosomal RNA", at positions 1 to 377 of the family's 1533-position model. The record is from RNAcentral. Lineage: Bacteria; Bacillati; Bacillota; Bacilli; Caryophanales; Listeriaceae.
UUUAAAGAGAGUUUGAUCCUGGCUCAGGACGAACGCUGGCGGCGUGCCUAAUACAUGCAAGUCGAACGAACGGAGGAAGAGCUUGCUCUUCCAAAGUUAGUGGCGGACGGGUGAGUAACACGUGGGCAACCUGCCUGUAAGUUGGGGAUAACUCCGGGAAACCGGGGCUAAUACCGAAUGAUAAAGUGUGGCGCAUGCCACGCUUUUGAAAGAUGGUUUCGGCUAUCGCUUACAGAUGGGCCCGCGGUGCAUUAGCUAGUUGGUAGGGUAAUGGCCUACCAAGGCAACGAUGCAUAGCCGACCUGAGAGGGUGAUCGGCCACACUGGGACUGAGACACGGCCCAGACUCCUACGGGAGGCAGCAGUAGGGAAUCUUCCGCAAUGGACG